CCCAUCUUCAGGGGGUCCCGGGAUGGAGGGGGAAAUACAGUCCUGGGCCCUGGCCUAGGAAAGGCUUCUACAAAAGUUUGCUUUAAUGGGAUGUUUUCUGCUGUGUGCAGAGGGGCACACAUUCCACCAGGGUGAAGCUGGUGGGGUGAGCUCAGGAGGUCCAAAUUCAGCCCCACCCUGCUCAGCAGGCUGUGCGGCCAUAAGGGUCGUGGGAGGGACAGGCCUGGCAUGGCAAUGACCCCAUUGCCUCCUGCGCCAGGAUUCAGAGCAACUACAUGGCACUGCAGAGGAUCAACCAGGAGCUGGAGGACAAGCUGUACCGCAUGGGCCAGCACUAUGAGGAGGAGAAG
This 350-nucleotide small RNA is filed under the name Pongo abelii (Sumatran orangutan). Its description in RNAcentral is "retained intron". Lineage: Eukaryota; Metazoa; Chordata; Mammalia; Primates; Hominidae. The record is from RNAcentral.